GGUGGUUCAGUGGUAGAAUUCUCGC
Molecule: non-coding RNA, 25 nt
Filed under: Xenopus tropicalis (tropical clawed frog)
Lineage: Eukaryota; Metazoa; Chordata; Amphibia; Anura; Pipidae
Also listed under: 6 other names
Source: RNAcentral